GACGAACGCUGGCGGCGUGCUUAACACAUGCAAGUCGUACGGUAAGGCCCUUUCGGGGGUACACGAGUGGCGAACGGGUGAGUAACACGUGAGUAACCUGCCCACAACUUUGGGAUAACGCUAGGAAACUGGUGCUAAUACUGGAUAUGUGCUCCUGCUGCAUGGUGGGGGUUGGAAAGCUCCGGCGGUUGUGGAUGGACUCGCGGCCUAUCAGCUUGUUGGUGGGGUAGUGGCCUACCAAGGCGGCGACGGGUAGCCGGCCUGAGAGGGUGACCGGCCACAUUGGGACUGAGAUACGGCCCAGACUCCUACGGGAGGCAGCAGGGGGGAAUAUUGCACAAUGGGCGCAAGCCUGAUGCAGCAACGCCGCGUGCGGGAUGACGGCCUUCGGGUUGUAAAACGCUUUCAGCAGGGACGAAGCUUUUUGUGACGGUACCUGCAGAAGAAGCACCGGCUAACUACGUG
RNAcentral lists this ribosomal RNA (465 nucleotides) under uncultured bacterium. RNAcentral's name for it is "partial 16S ribosomal RNA". It matches the Rfam family "Bacterial small subunit ribosomal RNA", at positions 28 to 507 of the family's 1533-position model. The record is from RNAcentral.